RNAcentral lists this unclassified non-coding RNA (222 nucleotides) under Hevea brasiliensis (rubber tree). Lineage: Eukaryota; Viridiplantae; Streptophyta; Magnoliopsida; Malpighiales; Euphorbiaceae. The record is from RNAcentral.
AUAUAUUUUCUCGCAUGAGUAACAUGUUAAAAAAAUCCCUAAUGUCUAAUGAUAUAUUCUCCUCCUUGUCGGGAGAGGAAUAAAAAAAAAGAAAAAAAUAAAAUAAUCGCGGCAGCAAAAUGCCAUCUACUUAAGCCUCCAUGAUUCCUUUCAUUACCCAAACGACGACGACGACGACUAGGACGAGAACAAGGCAAAACAAAGAAAACGACACACUCUUUU